RNAcentral lists this ribosomal RNA (216 nucleotides) under Glomeromycotina sp. RNAcentral's name for it is "partial small subunit ribosomal RNA". The stretch from base 87 to 216 matches the Rfam family "Eukaryotic small subunit ribosomal RNA", at positions 733 to 864 of the family's 1831-position model. The record is from RNAcentral. Lineage: Eukaryota; Fungi; Glomeromycota.
GGGUCAGUAGGUUGGUCGUGCCACCGGUACGUACUGGUCUCACUGAUUCCUCCUCCCUGAAGAACCGUAAUGCCAUUAAUUUGGUGUUGCGGGGAAACAGGACUGAUACUUUGAAAAAAUUAGAGUGUUUAAAGCAAGCUAACGUUUGAAUACAUUAGCAUGGAAUAAUGAAAUAGGACGAUCGAUCCUAUUUUGUUGGUUUCUAGGAUUGACGUA